RNAcentral lists this ribosomal RNA (393 nucleotides) under Parvimonas micra. RNAcentral's name for it is "bacterial SSU rRNA". It matches the Rfam family "Bacterial small subunit ribosomal RNA", at positions 30 to 402 of the family's 1533-position model. The record is from RNAcentral. Lineage: Bacteria; Bacillati; Bacillota; Tissierellia; Tissierellales; Peptoniphilaceae.
CGAACGCUGGCGGCGUGCUUAACACAUGCAAGUCGAACGUGAUUUUUGUGGAAAUUCUUUCGGGAAUGGAAAUGAAAUGAAAGUGGCGAACGGGUGAGUAACACGUGAGCAACCUACCUUACACAGGGGGAUAGCCGUUGGAAACGACGAUUAAUACCGCAUGAGACCACAGAAUCGCAUGAUAUAGGGGUCAAAGAUUAUCGGUGUAAGAAGGGCUCGCGUCUGAUUAGCUAGUUGGAAGGGUAAAGGCCUACCAAGGCGACGAUCAGUAGCCGGUCUGAGAGGAUGAACGGCCACAUUGGAACUGAGACACGGUCCAAAACUCCUACGGGAGGCAGCAGUGGGGAAUAUUGCACAAUUGGGGGGAAACCCCUGAUGCAGCGACCGCCGCGU